This is a long non-coding RNA of Chiroxiphia lanceolata (lance-tailed manakin), 412 nucleotides long. RefSeq lists it as uncharacterized. Lineage: Eukaryota; Metazoa; Chordata; Aves; Passeriformes; Pipridae. The transcript is spliced from 3 exons. The record is from RefSeq and is a predicted model, not a curated record.
ACAAUGUCUAUGAGCCUGCAGGAUGCGGAAGCUUCAACACCUUUCUUCUGAACCUUCUUCAGGCAGGCAGACUGCAUGUGGAGGACACAAGUUACAGAUACAGGCAAAUAGGCAUUGAGCAGAGGUUGUUAAAGGGAAUGUCUACUCCCUAAAGCAAUAUGUUUUAGCAAUGCUGUGGAAACACAACUCAGAAUUGUGUUUAAUAUGAAUGAGAAGUUGGAACCACUUGAAAAAGAGAUAGAAUUCAUGGUUGCUGCUCUACAGGAUGGCUCUCUUAUAUCUUGUGUUUCAAUUUGCUCUCUCAUGGCUGUCUGGGUUGGAUGAGAUACAGUCUGAAGCCUAAUUCAAGCUGUAGAAAGAUCCUUCCUGCGGAUCAAAGGACCUGUUAAAUGUUGGUAUAUGUGAUGUGAUG